AUAACCCUGUCACUUAUCAAAACGACCGUGUUUUGGUCCAGAAAAUGAAAUAUUUUCAUUGGCUCGUGGGGGGAUGGUACAGUAACAGCAUACAAAACACGUUCAAAUGCAGAAAAUCUGGGCUUCUAGGGUUUGUGAACAGUGCUUCAUCCCUCCCAAAAUCGAAUUUCCCAAUUUCUCCCAAAAAUGUCAAUUGAUUACACCAUUGUAAACAUUAAACAACACACAACAACAUCCUAACAUUGGUUUUCAUUAAUUUGAACUACACAACAAGAAAUCGAUGGAAACAUUUUCAAGCAUCAAGCUUC
Molecule: long non-coding RNA, 308 nt
Filed under: Lathyrus oleraceus (garden pea)
Lineage: Eukaryota; Viridiplantae; Streptophyta; Magnoliopsida; Fabales; Fabaceae
Description: Pisum sativum (pea) long non-coding RNA (PSAT_LNC025061)
Source: RNAcentral